AGAGAGUUAUUCGUUUAACUUCUCCAAAGCUAACAAAGUUAGCAAACAAUUGGGUAAAUAUCCAUAAUAUUAUGUUCGGUUUAUAAAGAUUAUAAGAGAUAAUAAUGGGCCUAUAGCUCAGCUGGCUAGAGCGCUCGACUGAUAAUCGUGAGGUCCCAGGUUCAAGUCCUGGUAGGCCCACCAUUAUAAUCUUUACUUUUAAUCUUAAUAUAUGAAUGGGGAUAUAGCUCAGCUGGGAGAGCGCCUGCCUUGCACGCAGGAGGUCAGCGGUUCGAUCCCGCUUAUCUCCACCAUUUAUUUUAAAAAUCAAAUAUAAGUUCAAAUGUUAAAAGUGUUGAAUUUAUAUUUGGUUUUUAUAACCAAAAUGAUAUUUAAAAAUUUAAUGUUAAAGUCUUUAAUUUUUUCGUUUAAAUCAAUAUCUUUCGUAUGAAGAUGAUUUAAAAAAACAAAAAAAUUUCAUAUCUAAACAACUAGAAAUAGUAUAGAUAGACACAACUGUUUUAUUAAAUGUAUAUUUAAUAAGAUAGUAGCCAAGGAAUAAUUAUUCAAAAAAGCGGUUAAUCGCAAGAUUAACUUUUUAAUAAGCUAUUAAGGGCUAAUGGUGGAUGCCUUGGC
This 615-nucleotide transfer RNA is filed under the name uncultured Gammaproteobacteria bacterium. RNAcentral's name for it is "partial 16S-23S ribosomal RNA intergenic spacer". The stretch from base 107 to 180 matches the Rfam family "tRNA". The record is from RNAcentral. Lineage: Bacteria; Pseudomonadati; Pseudomonadota; Gammaproteobacteria.